RNAcentral lists this long non-coding RNA (227 nucleotides) under Mytilus galloprovincialis (Mediterranean mussel). Lineage: Eukaryota; Metazoa; Mollusca; Bivalvia; Mytilida; Mytilidae. The record is from RNAcentral.
UGGGUUCGUGUUGUAUAUAGUUUUGUAAGGACUUAUCUGUCCUUUCGUUAUCUUUCUCUUUGAAUUAAAAGUUUUGAAUAUCACAUUGGCAUCUUGACCAUUUACAUGAUAAAAAUAACAUCUGAACCCUCACUCUUGAUUUUAAAGUGUUUGUUGAUCAAACCUUGACGUGGACACUUCUGUAUUUGUUGUAUCGUUUAUUUAAAGUUCAACUUGGUAAUAAUUAG